RNAcentral lists this ribosomal RNA (521 nucleotides) under uncultured bacterium. RNAcentral describes it as "partial 16S ribosomal RNA". It matches the Rfam family "Bacterial small subunit ribosomal RNA", at positions 355 to 868 of the family's 1533-position model. The record is from RNAcentral.
UGGGGAAUUUUGGACAAUGGGCGCAAGCCUGAUCCAGCCAUGCCGCGUGCGGGAAGAAGGCCUUCGGGUUGUAAACCGCUUUUGUCAGGGAAGAAAUCUUCUGAGUUAAUACCUCGGGAGGAUGACGGUACCUGAAGAAUAAGCACCGGCUAACUACGUGCCAGCAGCCGCGGUAAUACGUAGGGUGCAAGCGUUAAUCGGAAUUACUGGGCGCAAAGCGUGCGCAGGCGGUUUUGUAAGACAGAGGUGAAAUCCCCGGGCUCAACCUGGGAACUGCCUUUGUGACUGCAAGGCUUGAGUGCGGCAGAGGGGGGAUGGAAUUCCGCGUGUAGCAGUGAAAUGCGUAGAUAUGCGGAGGAACACCGAUGGCGAAGGCAAUCCCCUGGGCCUGCACUGACGCUCAUGCACGAAAGCGUGGGGAGCAAACAGGAUUAGAUACCCUGGUAGUCCACGCCCUAAACGAUGUCAACUGGUUGUUGGGAAGGUUCCUUCUCAGUAACGUAGCUAACGCGUGAAGUUGA